This 3054-nucleotide ribosomal RNA is filed under the name Triticum aestivum (bread wheat). Its description in RNAcentral is "partial small subunit ribosomal RNA". The record is from RNAcentral. Lineage: Eukaryota; Viridiplantae; Streptophyta; Magnoliopsida; Poales; Poaceae.
AUGGGCCAACUUCCACUGCACAUUCACCACCUACAGCUAUUAGCAUCCGUACUGUUGCUGUCAGCGGCGGCUGGGGCAGCAGAUGCUUCGCAUCACGCCGGCAGCAACACCACCGGUGAUCUUGCGGCGCUGCUCGCAUUCAAAUCCCAGCUCUCGGACCCCCUCGGCAUCCUUCGCGAUGGCUGGACAAGAAACAAGUCCUUCUGCAGCUGGGUGGGUGUGUCGUGCAGCCGGCGACAUCAGCAACGUGUGACUGCUGUGUCGCUGCCGGAUAUGCCGCUCCAAGGAGGCCUCAUCCCUCAUCUUGGUAACCUUUCUUUCCUCCAUGUCCUCAACCUCACCAACACAAGCCUCACUGGCUCCAUCCCUGAUGUUCUUGCAAGGUUACCUCGUAUUAGAAUUCUUGACCUUGGCCACAACAGUCUGUCAGGUCCAGUACCUCCUACCAUAUUCAACAUGUCUAGGCUUGAGAUCUUGUUGCUGGGAACCAACAACCUAACUGGGCCUAUACCAAGCAACCAAAGCUUUAAUCUCCCCCUGUUACGAAAGAUAGCCCUCCAUCGGAACAAAUUUACUGGUCAUCUCCCAUCAGGCCUAGAAGACUGCCACAACCUUGAGGUAAUCUCGAUUGGUGGAAAUCUUUUUGUUGAUACUGUGCCAACAUGGCUCGCUAAACUGCCACGACUCUCCUUCGUUUCUAUAGGCCGGAAUGAACUUGUUGGCUCAAUCCCCAGUGUGCUCGGCAACCUAACCAUGCUCUCCGUGCUUGACAUCUCAUUCUGCAACCUAAGCGGCCAGAUUCCAGUGGAACUGGGGAAACUCAGCCAACUCACUGUGCUGCAUCUUUCAUACAAUCAACUUACGGGCUCCUUUCCUGCCUUUCUAGGGAACUUGUCCGAUCUACAGUUCUUGGUAUUGGAAUCAAAUCUGUUGACCGCAACAGUACCAUCAACACUUGGCAACAUUAGAUCUCUUUUUCAUCUUGAUAUCCGAAUGAAUCACCUCCAAGGGAACCUUGAUUUCUUGGGCAGCCUUUGUAACUGUAGGAAGCUUCAAAUCCUUGCCAUAUCAACAAACUCAUUCACUGGGAGUCUUCCUAACUAUGUUGGAAACCUCUCUCAGAAUCUAUUAGAAUUUACAGCAAUCAGGAACAAGUUAACCGGCAGGUUUCCAGCUACACUGUCAAAUCUAAGUGAUAUCCGUAAAAUAAGCUUCAGCGACAACCAACUAACUGGAGAAAUCCCAGAAUCCAUCAUGAUGUUGGAGAAUCUCGAGGCACUUGAUCUCUCUGAAAACAGCAUGACUGGACCAAUCCCCGCACAAUCAGGUAUGCUGAAGAACAUUGUAGUUAUAGCUCUCAAUGAUAAUAAAUUCUCUGGCUCCAUACCAGAUGGCCUAGUAAAUAUUACUACAAUACAGUAUAUUUUCCUGUCCUCUAACAAUCUAUCUUCGACUAUACCAUCACACCUAUUUCAUCUUGAUAACCUUAUAGAAUUAAGUCUGUUCCAUAACACCCUAACAGGAGCCUUGCCUUCUGACCUAAGCCACAUGCAAGCCAUUGACAAAAUAGACUUAUCUUCUAAUCUCUUCGUUGGUCGCCUCCCUAGUUCAUUUGGACAGCUUGUGAUGUUAAGCUAUCUAAAUCUAUCUCAGAACUCAUUUGACGAUUCAAUACCAGAUAGUUUUCAUCAUUUGACCAACUUAGCAACUCUGGACCUAUCCUAUAACAAUCUUUCAGGUGGAAUACCAAAUUACCUUGCAAAUUUUACCUACCUUACUGAUCUGAACCUCUCCUUUAAUGAGCUACAAGGGCAAAUACCAAAUGGAGGUGUUUUCUCAAGCCUAAGCUUGCAAUCAUUGAUUGGGAAUAAGGGGCUGUGCGGUGCUCCACGUAUUGGAUUCUCACCAUGUUUGGACAAGUCAACUCAUAGUCAGCACUUUCUCAGGUUCAUACUCCCUGCUGGCAUCGUAGCAGUUGGUGCCUUAGCAGCGUGUGUAUACCUUCUUGACAAAAGGAAGAAGAAAAAGCAUCAAAAUGUUACAAAUUCCAUUCACAUAGCUGAUGUUAUCAGACACAAGUUAGUAUCCUACCAUGAGAUUGCACGUGCUACAGAAAACUUCAACGAGAGCAACCUCCUUGGAGCUGGAAACUUUGGCAAAGUUUUCAAGGCCCAACUGGGUCAUGGUUUGGUGGUUGCAGUAAAAGUGCUCAACAUGCAUGUCGAGCGAGCCAUGAGGAGCUUUGAUGCUGAAUGUGAAGUGUUGCGGAUGGCUAGGCAUCGCAACUUAAUAAGGAUACUGAAUACUUGUUCCAACAUGGAUUUCAGAGCAUUGUUGCUUCAGUACAUGCCGAAUGGCAGCUUGGAGUCACAUUUGCACGGAGGAAUUAGGGAACCACUGGGGUUCAUCAAAAGAUUGGAUGCUAUGCUUGGCGUGGCUGAGGCAAUGGAAUAUCUGCACCAUCAUCAUCAUCAAGUUGUCCUACACUGUGACCUCAAACCUAGUAAUGUGUUAUUCGAUGAGGAGAUGACAUCACAUGUUGCGGACUUUGGAAUUGCUAAAUUACUUACCGGUGAUGACAACUCCAUGAUUUCAGCAAGUAUGCCAGGAACAAUUGGGUACAUGGCACCAGAGCUUGCACUCAUGGGGAAGGCUUCAAGGAAAAGUGAUGUGUUUAGCUUUGGGAUCAUGCUUCUUGAAGUCUUCACUGGGAAGAGUCCUACGGGUCCCAUGUUCAUUGGAGAAUUCAGCCUCAGGCAGUGGGUAUCCCAAGCAUUUCCAUCAAUGCUCAUGGAUGUUGUGGAUGAGAGGUUCCUACAGCGUGAGGACAUUGAUCACAGAUUUCAUCAGCAAAGCAGUACUACUUGGUCUCCAGCAUCGUCUUCCACACGGUUUGAUGCCAACCUGCUUGUGUCAAUAUUUGAGCUAGGUCUGAUUUGUUCGAGCGAAUCCCCUGAGCAAAGGAUGACAAUGAACGAUGUGGUUUUGAAGCUGAAGGACAUAAAAAAGGAUCACUUUGCCUCUGAAUUGGCAAGGGAAAAGGCCUCAGGCUAA